AUCUAAGUACCCCGAGGAAAAGAAAUCAACCGAGAUUCCCCCAGUAGCGGCGAGCGAACGGGGAGGAGCCCAGAGCCUGAAUCAGCAUGUGUGUUAGUGGAAGCGUCUGGAAAGGCGCGCGAUACAGGGUGACAGCCCCGUACACAAAAGCGCAUGUGCUGUGAGCUCGAUGAGUAGGGCGGGACACGUGGUAUCCUGUCUGAAUAUGGGGGGACCAUCCUCCAAGGCUAAAUACUCCUGACUGACCGAUAGUGAACCAGUACCGUGAGGGAAAGGCGAAAAGAACCCCGGCGAGGGGAGUGAAAAAGAACCUGAAACCGUGUACGUACAAGCAGUGGGAGCACAGGUUUACCUGUGUGACUGCGUACCUUUUGUAUAAUGGGUCAGCGACUUAUAUUCUGUAGCAAGGUUAACCGAAUAGGGGAGCCGCAGGGAAACCGAGUCUUAAUUGGGCGUUAAGUUGCAGGGUAUAGACCCGAAACCCGGUGAUCUAGCCAUGGGCAGGUUGAAGGUUGGGUAACACUAACUGGAGGACCGAACCGACUAAUGUUGAAAAAUUAGCGGAUGACCUGUGGCUGGGGGUGAAAGGCCAAUCAAACCGGGAGAUAGCUGGUUCUCCCCGAAAGCUAUUUAGGUAGCGCCUCGUGAAUUCAUCUCCGGGGGUAGAGCACUGUUUCGGCUAGGGGGCCAUCCCGGCUUACCAACCCGAUGCAAACUGCGAAUACCGGAGAAUGUUAUCACGGGAGACACACGGCGGGUGCUAACGUCCGUCGUGAAGAGGGAAACAACCCAGACCGCCAGCUAAGGUCCCAAAGUCAUGGUUAAGUGGGAAACGAUGUGGGAAGGCCCAGACAGCCAGGAUGUUGGCUUAGAAGCAGCCAUCAUUUAAAGAAAGCGUAAUAGCUCACUGGUCGAGUCGGCCUGCGCGGAAGAUGUAACGGGGCUAAACCAUGCACCGAAGCUGCGGCAGCGACGCUGAUGCGUUGUUGGGUAGGGGAGCGUUCUGUAAGCCUGUGAAGGUGUGUCGUGAGGCAUGCUGGAGGUAUCAGAAGUGCGAAUGCUGACAUAAGUAACGAUAAAGCGGGUGAAAAGCCCGCUCGCCGGAAGACCAAGGGUUCCUGUCCAACGUUAAUCGGGGCAGGGUGAGUCGACCCCUAAGGCGAGGCCGAAAGGCGUAGUCGAUGGGAAACGGGUUAAUAUUCCCGUACUUGGUGUUACUGCGAAGGGGGGACGGAGAAGGCUAUGUUGGCCGGGCGACGGUUGUCCCGGUUUAAGCGUGUAGGUGUGUGUUCCAGGUAAAUCCGGUUCACUUUAACACUGAGGCGUGAUGACGAGGCACUACGGUGCUGAAGCAACAAAUGCCCUGCUUCCAGGAAAAGCCUCUAAGCAUCAGGUAACAUCAAAUCGUACCCCAAACCGACACAGGUGGUCAGGUAGAGAAUACCAAGGCGCUUGAGAGAACUCGGGUGAAGGAACUAGGCAAAAUGGUGCCGUAACUUCGGGAGAAGGCACGCUGACAC
RNAcentral lists this ribosomal RNA (1520 nucleotides) under Salmonella enterica. RNAcentral's name for it is "partial 23S ribosomal RNA". It matches the Rfam family "Bacterial large subunit ribosomal RNA", at positions 200 to 1757 of the family's 2925-position model. Lineage: Bacteria; Pseudomonadati; Pseudomonadota; Gammaproteobacteria; Enterobacterales; Enterobacteriaceae. The record is from RNAcentral.